CAGAAAUACUGGCUGAACAGUGACUGCUGCAUAUUCUUCUGGGUAUGGCUACACUCUCGUGGAAGACGAGCAAAAUGACUCAAACCAUAUAAACCAUCAAUAAAUAACAAAACUACAGCAUAAAGCCUCACACAGAAACAACAGCAUCCCCAGCACAUCACAGCCUACGACCUGAAGAUGACUUCUUCACCUGAGGAAGCAAUAUCAGAUAAAGGACUUGUUUGAAGUUAAAACAUCUUACAAACACACAGCCUAUUGCUUUAUAAGAUGUUGAUGAUGGACUGGAGUGGUGUGGAUUACUUGUGG
Long non-coding RNA from Cyprinus carpio carpio, 306 nucleotides. NCBI's taxonomy places the organism in Eukaryota, Metazoa, Chordata, Actinopteri, Cypriniformes, Cyprinidae. The record is from Ensembl.